GUGAUCGAAGAAAGGAGUCAUACAUCUUAUAUUAACGAUAAUAAUGUGAAAAAUGUGUGCUCUCUAAUUAGCUUAUUUUUGCGGAAAAAAAGUGUUAUAUAAAAACUGCAACAUCAAGUUGAGUCAGGCAAUCUCAGCUCAACAGUGAUGGCAGUGUUUUGUGGGAUAUGGGACUGGUGGGUUUGGGUGCAUCCUACGUGACAAAAAUGGUAAAUGGAUUCGGGGUUGCAAUGGAAAAUGUGUGGAGUUACAGGUACUUCAUUCUGAGUUAUUAGAUAUUUGAUGUGAAUUGAAUUUAGAUUGGGAGAAUGGUCAUCGGUCAAUAGUGUGAGACUUAUUGUCCCGAAGCUUUAAAUAUUUAAUUUGCUCUGGUUUGAGAAUGACCUUGUAUCAUAUAGAGGCUUUCGGAAUUAAUAAAAUUGUAGAAAUCAUUUCCAAGAGGUGGCUUGUUAGGUUUUGCCUUGUGGCUCACUUUGCAAGUUCUGCUGCAGAUUUCAUGGCAAGAAAGGGUGCUCAUAGUGAUAUCCAUUACAAUGAAUCUGUGCAGCCUUAUGAUGAUGUACUUCCCUUGAUUCAGAGGAACAUGUUUGGGAACUUUAUAGCCCCUAAGUUUCUUUGUUUUCUUCUUUUUAUUUAUUUAUUUAUUUUUUUGGUGUCAAAAGAAAAGAGAAGAAACACAGCCAGAUUAGGCUCCACGAAUACUUAUGGACUAAAUUAGCUAAACUACUCCACGGCUCUAACCACUCUGCUUGUUGCACCGAGCUUCUCACUGCAUGCUUGGCCAUAAAAUCUGCAACUGCAGUAGCUGUCCUCUGCACUAAUUUAACCUCUGCUGUCCAAUUCCAAAGAAGAGUAUCAUGGAUUUUCUGAAUCAAAUCCCUAUCAGCUGCAUUUUCAUGAAAUCUAUGGGGUUGGGAUGCUAGAAAAUCAUCCACAUUGUCAGCCUGACAAAUAAUUUCCUGGCAACCGCACUCUCAGGUCAACACUAAGCCUCUCCAAAUAGCAAAAAAACUCACACCGGGCCUUUUGAUCCAUCUUCGAUUUACAUCCUUAAUGACACAGCCAAAUCCAGUUUUUCCCCCAAUCCAUUAACUUUACAAAUGAAGCCCCCUACAGCCCUACUGUUCAUCCAAAAAUCAAGGCAUAAAAUAAUACAAAACAUACCGAAAAAAGAAAAAAAAAAAAAAA
Molecule: non-coding RNA, 1188 nt
Organism: Arachis ipaensis
Lineage: Eukaryota; Viridiplantae; Streptophyta; Magnoliopsida; Fabales; Fabaceae
Source: RefSeq, a predicted model, not a curated record